This 253-nucleotide ribosomal RNA is filed under the name uncultured bacterium. RNAcentral describes it as "partial 16S ribosomal RNA". It matches the Rfam family "Bacterial small subunit ribosomal RNA", at positions 524 to 776 of the family's 1533-position model. The record is from RNAcentral.
UACGUAGGGGGCAAGCGUUGUCCGGAGUUAUUGGGCGUAAAGGGCGCGUAGGCGGCUUGUCAAGUCGAAUGUGAAACCCCCGGGCUUAACCCGGGGUAUGCAAGCGAAACUGACGAGCUUGAGUGCAGGAGAGGAAAGCGGAAUUCCCAGUGUAGCGGUAAAAUGCGUAGAUAUUGGGAGGAACACCGGUGGCGAAGGCGGCUUUCUGGACUGUAACUGACGCUGAGGCGCGAUAGCGUGGGGAGCAAACAGG